AACUCUGCAUGUAAUGGUUUGAAGAACCAUAAAACGCAUUUCAUUCACAUUACUUGUGGAUUGUUGACUCCUGAGGGAAAAAUGAACGGAGUACUUGCAAUGUAACGAUUACAAGUUUCCGACUUGGCAAACCUCGUCUAAUUUGGAAUCCGUUCUUCGUGUCAGUGAUUUUGUUCUUGAAAUUGCUAUCUAUGUGGGAUAAACCAUGAACAGAGCUUCAAGGGAUAGGAAGGUAUGUGUGGGAUAAACCAGAAUACGCUUUCUUACUCUUUCUGGGUUCUCUUGCUGGGCAUUUACUGGGAAAGGGAAGAAGUUUCGAGGUGUCCUAAAGCUCAUUCAAAUAGAUUGGGGUUAGCGCAAAUUUUUGUAGUCCAGCACUUGACAAUUGAGUAAAGGUGCUACUCCAAGAAAGCAAACUGUACCUGUGAUCAAUAAUGCUGGUAUUUGAUGGAAAUUAGGGAAAAUAUGUGGAAUGUUCAUUUACGGUUGUGAGAUUAGGGAAAUCUAAAAUUUAAUUGGCAAGGAAACAGAUCUGAAUUGGGCUGGAUCUGAAAGGAAAACGGAUUGAAAUGAUGCAGAGAGGAAAUUAAAUCCUCAUUUGGCACUUGAGUUUGAUUUUCUCCUUCUGCCAUGGUGCUUUCCUGACUUUUUUGGAAGAUCAUUUGUAUCAGGGGAUGAGUCACAUUUAAUUUACAAAUAUCAGUUGACCUUUGAACUUCUGAUCUUGCUGAUCUUGCAAAGGAAGCAAAUGAUCCAUUAUUGGAGGUGUCUUAAAGAUCAUGAAGUUAUUGCAGCUAUUGAUUUGCAGUCCAUGGCUCCAACCGGAGAUGUUAUCCAGGUUUAAUUGAUGUCGCCCAUGUUUCUAAGGAAGGAGGGAAGUUUCUUUCACAAAUAUUUAGAAGACAACGCACAAGCCUUCUAUAAUGUCAGAUUUGCUCUGUGGGAAAUUUAUAUGUUCUAUGUCCUUGCUGCAUACUCAUCAACUGUCUUUGAAAAGUGAUACAGGCGUAUUAACUGUCUUUGAAAGUACUCAGAACUUCUUCAUGAUAUCAUUUAAUUUUCACCACAAUUUUUUAUUUUCAAUCUAUAUGCCUAGAUCACUAUAACAUGCUCUUGCUGCCUGCGUCACCUUUGCAUUUGCAGCUGAAAUUAUUCUUCCCUGUGGCAACUUUAUCAAAACCAAAAAGCAGCCGCAAUUUAAGCACGGGUGAGGAUUUUGGUUUCCCCUUUUCCUACUACUCUAACUUUUGAGAGAUGAACUUUGAAUUUGGAACCUGUAUAAUUUUGACGUUACCAAGUUAAGGUAAUUUUUACACAGGAAGAGAGGUGGUUGAUCUUAUUUGUGCUAAUUUUCUCAAGGUGCUGUUUGGUACAUUGGCAUCUUGAUGUCCCAAGGAAUUGGAUACCUAUGUAUAACAUUACAAUAAUGAGAUGUACGCAACAGUUAAUAUUCUUCUACUACGUACGAGAUGUAUAACACAUAAAGUCAAUGUUUGUUCACAUUUGUUCCACUCAAACAACUGAAAAAUAGAUUUCAGGUGUUUGAAAAACCAGCAUUUCUAUAUAUCAAACGCUGCAAGUGUUUUGAGGUUAACCCUUCAGGGGCAUUUGCAGCCUGUGAAAUUUUAUUCCAUUCCUGAAGGAUUCAAAAGAUCAGCAUUGCUUGCCUGAGAAGGAUGGAAGUCCCUCUAGGAUAGAUAAUGAAGGUAAUAAGGCAACUCAGUUUCCUAUAUCAAACCUACGGAAAUUGACAGGAACAAAUUUUAAUUAUAGAUUAAUUUUCCUCAAAUACAAAUUGUUUUAUUGCUUCAAAGUUAGAUUCUUCAGCCCUUCUUGAAUGCAAUUCAAUGAGCACAAGCAUCACGUUCCAAGUAAAACGCUUUUGCUCAUUUAUCAUCCUUUCUUGUUUUCAUUGCUCUAAUCUCAGUUUUUUCAUUAGGCUAUGAUGAUUUUAUAGUGCUUGCAGAUUUUAGCGGGGGUUGAUUAGGAUGCUCCAAUAGGAUCUGUAUCCCAUUUCUUGCUUUACAGUUCCUUGGUGGCCGGUGGGCAUGAUAUCCACUACGGGCCGAGGGAACGGGAGAAAAAACUAGUCAUGGAAUCCAAGAAUUUGAAAUCUCACCUUGGAUUCUUGAUCAUGAUAGGCACUUUCUUUCUUUCUUUCUUUCUUUCUUUUUGGUAUUUUUCUCUAGUAAAAUAUGGCUAUUGGAUUGACCAUUAUUACCGUACGUGUGAACUGUAGCUCUUUCUUUUUCUGCCUGAACUAUCAUUGCCUGCCUGGUUGGCAUCUUCCUUUUUGUUACAGAGAUUUUGAAAUUCUAAAAUUCUUUACAGAUAACCGUCCAAGCUUACAACUGUUCCACUGGAUGAUGCCGAUGGCGAUACUGUUUCCUGAACGAGGUUCUUUCGACAUAAGCUGAACAAAAAGACAAGGUAUCCCGCAGAUACUGUUGCCUCCUUUAUUUCCUAUGCUUUUUCAUAUGGCAACAAACACCAGUGAUAUCGAUCCAAACCUGGAGGAACAUGACUUGCAUCGCAGGGUUGCUGGAUCAUCUAGGACAAAUUUCUCUGGUCAAAGAUUGCUGCACAACAUUAAACUUUGUUGGAUUAAGUAUAUAUUAAAUAGCUUAAGCCAAUUUGAUGGGAUUUACUUUGAGGUUAAAUUUUCUUCUUUUUGCCUAGGUUGGUACUUCAUUGGAGUUUCAGAGGCUUCAAAACCGUACCAAAUAGUAUUGAACUUCGUUGAAUGAAGUAUAUAUUAGGUUUGUCUUUUUAUCAAAAUAGCUUAAACUAAUUUGAUGGGACUUACUUUAAGGUUAUGCAGCUUUAAUUCAUUCUUCAGUUAA
Long non-coding RNA from Prosopis cineraria, 2843 nucleotides. RefSeq lists it as uncharacterized. The transcript is spliced from 6 exons. NCBI's taxonomy places the organism in Eukaryota, Viridiplantae, Streptophyta, Magnoliopsida, Fabales, Fabaceae. The record is from RefSeq and is a predicted model, not a curated record.